AAUGAAGUGCCUGACUAAAGGGUUAUUUUGAUAGAAUAAAAAAUGUAAUUUUAUUACCUUCAUU
This 64-nucleotide transfer RNA is filed under the name Bicellonychia lividipennis. Its description in RNAcentral is "tRNA-Ile". Lineage: Eukaryota; Metazoa; Arthropoda; Insecta; Coleoptera; Lampyridae. The record is from RNAcentral.